GACGGGGACCCGCGCAAGCAGCGGAGCGUGUGGUUUAAUUCGUUGCUACACGAAGAACCUUACCUGGGUUUGACAUAUAGGUUGUAGGGAACUGAAAGGGACCGACCUUCGGGGAGCCUAUACAGGUGUUGCAUGGCUGUCGUCAGCUCGUGUCGUGAGAUGUUCGGUUAAGUCCGCUAACGAGCGCAACCCUCGUCGUAUGUUAUAUGUGUCAUACGAGACUGCCGGUAAAAAGCCGGAGGAAGGUGAGGAUGAUGUCAAGUCAGCAUGACCUUUAUAUCCAGGGCUACACACACGCUACAAUGGUCUGUACAAUGGGUAGCCAAGCCGCGAGGCGGAGCCAAUCCUGAAAGCAGGCCUCAGUUCAGAUUGCAGUCUGCAACCCGCCUGCAUGAAGUUGGAGUUGCUAGUAAACGCAGGUCAGCCAUACUGCGUUGAAUACGUUCCCGGGGCUU
RNAcentral lists this ribosomal RNA (455 nucleotides) under uncultured Anaerolineaceae bacterium. Its description in RNAcentral is "bacterial SSU rRNA". It matches the Rfam family "Bacterial small subunit ribosomal RNA", at positions 912 to 1382 of the family's 1533-position model. The record is from RNAcentral. Lineage: Bacteria; Bacillati; Chloroflexota; Anaerolineae; Anaerolineales; Anaerolineaceae.